Molecule: ribosomal RNA, 715 nt
Filed under: uncultured Caulobacteraceae bacterium
Lineage: Bacteria; Pseudomonadati; Pseudomonadota; Alphaproteobacteria; Caulobacterales; Caulobacteraceae
Description: bacterial SSU rRNA
Rfam family: Bacterial small subunit ribosomal RNA
Source: RNAcentral
AGCGAACGCUGGCGGCAGGCCUAACACAUGCAAGUCGAACGAACUCUUCGGAGUUAGUGGCGGACGGGUGAGUAACACGUGGGAACGUGCCUUUAGGUUCGGAAUAACUCAGGGAAACUUGUGCUAAUACCGAAUGUGCCCCCCGAUUCAUUUUGGGGUGGGAAAGAUUUAUCGCCUUUAGAGCGGCCCGCGUCUGAUUAGCUAGUUGGUGAGGUAAAGGCUCACCAAGGCGACGAUCAGUAGCUGGUCUGAGAGGAUGAUCAGCCACAUUGGGACUGAGACACGGCCCAAACUCCUACGGGAGGCAGCAGUGGGGAAUCUUGCGCAAUGGGCGAAAGCCUGACGCAGCCAUGCCGCGUGAAUGAUGAAGGUCUUAGGAUUGUAAAAUUCUUUCACCGGGGACGAUAAUGACGGUACCCGGAGAAGAAGCCCCGGCUAACUUCGUGCCAGCAGCCGCGGUAAUACGAAGGGGGCUAGCGUUGCUCGGAAUUACUGGGCGUAAAGGGAGCGUAGGCGGACAUUUAAGUCAGGGGUGAAAUCCCGGGGCUCAACCUCGGAAUUGCCUUUGAUACUGGGUGUCUUGAGUAUGAGAGAGGUGUGUGGAACUCCGAAUGUAGAGGUGAAAUUCGUAGAUAUUCGGAAGAACACCAGUGGCGAAGGCGACACACUGGCUCAUUACUGACGCUGAGGCUCGAAAGCGUGGGGAGCAAACAGG